Molecule: ribosomal RNA, 640 nt
Filed under: Vibrio sp.
Lineage: Bacteria; Pseudomonadati; Pseudomonadota; Gammaproteobacteria; Vibrionales; Vibrionaceae
Description: bacterial SSU rRNA
Rfam family: Bacterial small subunit ribosomal RNA
Source: RNAcentral
GAAACGAGUUAUCUGAACCUUCGGGGAACGAUAACGGCGUCGAGCGGCGGACGGGUGAGUAAUGCCUAGGAAAUUGCCCUGAUGUGGGGGAUAACCAUUGGAAACGAUGGCUAAUACCGCAUGAUGCCUACGGGCCAAAGAGGGGGACCUUCGGGCCUCUCGCGUCAGGAUAUGCCUAGGUGGGAUUAGCUAGUUGGUGAGGUAAGGGCUCACCAAGGCGACGAUCCCUAGCUGGUCUGAGAGGAUGAUCAGCCACACUGGAACUGAGACACGGUCCAGACUCCUACGGGAGGCAGCAGUGGGGAAUAUUGCACAAUGGGCGCAAGCCUGAUGCAGCCAUGCCGCGUGUGUGAAGAAGGCCUUCGGGUUGUAAAGCACUUUCAGUCGUGAGGAAGGUGGUGUAGUUAAUAGCUGCAUUAUUUGACGUUAGCGACAGAAGAAGCACCGGCUAACUCCGUGCCAGCAGCCGCGGUAAUACGGAGGGUGCGAGCGUUAAUCGGAAUUACUGGGCGUAAAGCGCAUGCAGGUGGUUUGUUAAGUCAGAUGUGAAAGCCCGGGGCUCAACCUCGGAAUAGCAUUUGAAACUGGCAGACUAGAGUACUGUAGAGGGGGGUAGAAUUUCAGGUGUAGCGGUGAAAUG